AGCUCAAAUUUGAAAUCUAGCACUUUCAGUGUUCGAGUUGUAAUUUGAAGAAGGUAACUUUGGAAUUGGCUCUUGUCUAUGUUCCUUGGAACAGGACGUCACAGAGGGUGAGAAUCCCGUGCGAUGAGAUGUCCAAUUCUAUGUAAAGUGCUUUCGAAGAGUCGAGUUGUUUGGGAAUGCAGCUCUAAGUGGGUGGUAAAUUCCAUCUAAAGCUAAAUAUUGGCGAGAGACCGAUAGCGAACAAGUACAGUGAUGGAAAGAUGAAAAGAACUUUGAAAAGAGAGUGAAAAAGUACGUGAAAUUGUUGAAAGGGAAGGGCUUGAGAUCAGACUUGGUAUUUUGUGUUCCUUAUCCUUCUUGGAUUAGGUUCCUCACAGCUUACCGGGCCAGCAUCGGUUUGGAUGGCAGGAUAAUGACAUUGGAAUGUAGCUUUGCUUCGGUGAAGUGUUAUAGACUUUGUUGAUACUGCCUAUCUAGACCGAGGACU
Molecule: ribosomal RNA, 487 nt
Filed under: [Candida] sp.
Lineage: Eukaryota; Fungi; Ascomycota; Saccharomycetes; Saccharomycetales
Description: Candida sp. (in: Saccharomycetales) partial large subunit ribosomal RNA
Rfam family: Eukaryotic large subunit ribosomal RNA
Source: RNAcentral